GACGAACGCUGGCGGCGUGCCUAAUACAUGCAAGUCGAGCGAAGUUUUUCUGGUGCUUGCACCGGAAAAACUUAGCGGCGAACGGGUGAGUAACACGUAAAGAACCUGCCUCAUAGACUGGGACAACUAUUGGAAACGAUAGCUAAUACCGGAUAAUAGCAUUAACUGCAUGGUUGAUGUUUAAAAGUUGGUUUUGCUAACACUAUGAGAUGGCUUUGCGGUGCAUUAGCUAGUUGGUGGGGUAAAGGCCUACCAAGGCGACGAUGCAUAGCCGACCUGAGAUGGUGAUCGGCCACACUGGGACUGAGACACGGCCCAGACUCCUACGGGAGGCAGCAGUAGGGAAUCUUCCGCAAUGGGCGAAAGCCUGACGGAGCAACGCCGCGUGAGUGAAGAAGGAUUUCGGUUCGUAAAGCUCUGUUGUUAGGGAAGAAUGAUUGUGUAGUAACUAUACACAGUAGAGACGGUACCUAACCAGAAAGCCACGGCUAACUACGUG
Molecule: ribosomal RNA, 499 nt
Filed under: uncultured bacterium
Lineage: Bacteria
Description: partial 16S ribosomal RNA
Rfam family: Bacterial small subunit ribosomal RNA
Source: RNAcentral